Molecule: ribosomal RNA, 253 nt
Filed under: uncultured bacterium
Lineage: Bacteria
Description: partial 16S ribosomal RNA
Rfam family: Bacterial small subunit ribosomal RNA
Source: RNAcentral
UACGAAGGGGGCUAGCGUUGCUCGGAAUUACUGGGCGUAAAGCGCACGUAGGCGGCUCUUUAAGUCGGAGGUGAAAUCCUGGAGCUCAACUCCAGAACUGCCUUCGAUACUGAAGAGCUCGAGUCCGGGAGAGGUGAGUGGAACUGCGAGUGUAGAGGUGUAAUUCGUAGAUAUUCGCAAGAACACCAGUGGCGAAGGCGGCUCACUGGCCCGGUACUGACGCUGAGGUGCGAAAGCGUGGGGAGCAAACAGG